Molecule: non-coding RNA, 285 nt
Organism: Taeniopygia guttata (zebra finch)
Lineage: Eukaryota; Metazoa; Chordata; Aves; Passeriformes; Estrildidae
Source: RefSeq, a predicted model, not a curated record
UAGCCUCUAAGAUGUCCAGUCCAGGCCUCCAAAGGCUGAAAGGGAAAGGCUUCAGUACUGUGUUGUUCAGUGGCCAAUAUAAAUAGAGGCUACCAGGUUUUAGGCCUAUCAGAUGAUGUGUCUUCUCAGGCCCCAUGCUCUUCUCAUGACACUGUCCUGCCCUCCAGCCAGGGGAAAUGCGGUACUGUAAAAUGCCUUGCUUAGUAUGAAACCAGUAUGCAGACAAAGUAGGCGCCAAAAGCUGAAGUUUUAGUACAUGUCUACUUAAAUACAGAACUGACUGCA